GACGAACGCUGGCGGCGUGCUUAACACAUGCAAGUCGAACGGAAAGGCCCUGCUUUUGUGGGGUGCUCGAGUGGCGAACGGGUGAGUAACACGUGUGUAACCUGCCCUUGACUUUGGGAUAACUUCAGGAAACUGGGGCUAAUACCGGAUAGGAGCUCCUGCUGCAUGGUGGGGGUUGGAAAGUUUCGGCGGUUGGGGAUGGACUCGCAGCUUAUCAGCUUGUUGGUGGGGUAGUGGCUUACCAAGGCUUUGACGGGUAGCCGGCCUGAGAGGGUGACCGGCCACAUUGGGACUGAGAUACGGCCCAGACUCCUACGGGAGGCAGCAGUGGGGAAUAUUGCACAAUGGGCGGAAGCCUGAUGCAGCAACGCCGCGUGCGGGAUGACGGCCUUCGGGUUGUAAACCGCUUUCGCCUGUGACGAAGCGUGAGUGACGGUAAUGGGUAAAGAAGCACCGGCUAACUACGUGC
This 469-nucleotide ribosomal RNA is filed under the name uncultured bacterium. Its description in RNAcentral is "partial 16S ribosomal RNA". It matches the Rfam family "Bacterial small subunit ribosomal RNA", at positions 28 to 508 of the family's 1533-position model. The record is from RNAcentral.